RNAcentral lists this ribosomal RNA (492 nucleotides) under uncultured bacterium. Its description in RNAcentral is "partial 16S ribosomal RNA". It matches the Rfam family "Bacterial small subunit ribosomal RNA", at positions 29 to 507 of the family's 1533-position model. The record is from RNAcentral.
AGUGAACGCUGGCGGCAGGCCUAAUACAUGCAAGUCGAACGGAAGCACGGGAAGAGUGCGUCCUUACUGUUGGCGACGGGCGGACGGGUGAGGAAUAGAUCGCAAACUUCUAUGUCUUGGGGGACAACGGAGGGAAACAGAUGCUAAUACCGAAUACGAUCAACGGGAGAAAGCAGGAGUGCUACGCAGCUUUGCCGACAGAAUGAGACGAAGUCGGAUUAGCUAGUUGGCUGGGUAACGGCCCACCAAGGCGACGAUCCGUAGCAGGUCUGAGAGGAUGAUCCGCCACACUGGAACUGAGACACGGUCCAGACUCCUACGGGAGGCAGCAGUGGGGAAUCUUGCGCAAUGGGCGCAAGCCUGAUCCAGCCAUGCCGCGUGAGUGAUGAAGGUCUUCGGGUCGUAAAACUCUUUUGUUAGGAAAGAACAUAUGCGUAAUAAUCCCCCGAUGUUCUGACGGUACCCAAACAAAAAGCACCGGCUAACUUCGUG